UACGAAGGGUGCAAGCGUUACUCGGAAUUACUGGGCGUAAAGCGUGCGUAGGUGGUUCGUUAAGUCUGUCGUGAAAGCCCCGGGCUCAACCUGGGAAUGGCGAUGGAUACUGGCGGGCUAGAGUGCGGUAGAGGAGAGUGGAAUUCCCGGUGUAGCAGUGAAAUGCGUUGAUAUCCGUAGGAACUCCGGUGGCGAAGGCGGCGUGCUGGAUCCCUUCUGACGCUGAGGCGCGAAAGCCAGGGGAGCAAACGGG
This 253-nucleotide ribosomal RNA is filed under the name uncultured bacterium. RNAcentral describes it as "partial 16S ribosomal RNA". It matches the Rfam family "Bacterial small subunit ribosomal RNA", at positions 524 to 776 of the family's 1533-position model. The record is from RNAcentral.